UGAGCGAAAGCUUGAUGGAGCGACACAGCGUGCACGAUGAAGGUCUUCGGAUUGUAAAGUGCUGUUAUAAGGGAAGAACAUUUGCAAUAGGAAAUGAUUGCAGACUGACGGUACCUUGUCAGAAAGCGAUGGCUAACUAUGUGCCAGCAGCCGCGGUAAUACAUAGGUCGCAAGCGUUAUCCGGAAUUAUUGGGCGUAAAGCGUUCGUAGGCUGUUUGUUAAGUCUGGAGUUAAAUCCCGGGGCUCAACCCCGGCUCGCUUUGGAUACUAGCAAACUAGAGUUAGAUAGAGGUAAGCGGAAUUCCAUGUGAAGCGGUGAAAUGCGUAGAUAUAUGGAAGAACACCAAAGGCGAAGGCAGCUUACUGGGUCUAUACUGACGCUGAGGGACGAAAGCGUGGGGAGCAAACAGGAUUAGAUACCCUGGUAGUCCACGCCGUAAACGAUGAUCAUUAGUCGGUGGAGAAUCACUGACGCAGCUAACGCAUUAAAUGAUCCGCCUGAGUAGUAUGCUCGCAAGAGUGAAACUUAAAGGAAUUGACGGGGACCCGCACAAGCGGUGGAGCAUGUGGUUUAAUUUGAAGAUACACGGAAAACCUUACCCACUCUUGACAUCCUUCGCAAAGCUAUAGAGAUAUAGUGGAGGUUAUCGGAGUGACAGAUGGUGCAUGGUUGUCGUCAGCUCGUGUCGUGAGAUGUUUGGUCAAGUCCUGCAACGAGCGCAACCCCUAUCUUUAGUUACUAACAUUAAGUUGAGGACUCUAGAGAUACUGCCUGGGUAACUGGGAGGAAGGUGGGGAUGACGUCAAAUCAUCAUGCCUCUUACGAGUGGGGCCACACACGUGCUACAAUGGUCGGUACAAAGAGAAGCAAUAUGGCGACAUGGAGCAAAUCUCAAAAAG
RNAcentral lists this ribosomal RNA (900 nucleotides) under uncultured bacterium. RNAcentral describes it as "bacterial SSU rRNA". It matches the Rfam family "Bacterial small subunit ribosomal RNA", at positions 372 to 1281 of the family's 1533-position model. The record is from RNAcentral.